Molecule: non-coding RNA, 67 nt
Organism: Potamilus streckersoni
Lineage: Eukaryota; Metazoa; Mollusca; Bivalvia; Unionida; Unionidae
Source: the annotation of a GenBank genome assembly
GUGGCCUAGUUGUUAGAGCGUCCGCCUCGGAUGUGGGAGGUCGAGGGUUCGAACUCCGGACGACUCA